GUUCCAGUAGCCCAGAUUGUGAAUUGACACUUGUGUCAAAUUGUGGAAUGUUGGUUGGUUUGCCCUACUUGUAGACCAAGUCCCCUGGAACGGGGCAGCAGAGAGGGUGAGACUCCCGUAUGUCUAUGAGUGUGAGGAUCAACUGUCGAGUCGAGUUGUUUGGGAUUGCAGCUCCAAGUGGGUGGUAAAUUCCAUCCAAGGCUAAAUAUUGGUGAGAGACCGAUAGCGUACAAGUACCGUGAGGGAAAGAUGCAAAGCCGCGCGAGAGCGCUGUCAAAGAGUACCUGAAAUUGCUAAAAAGGAAGCGAAGGAAACCAGUGUUAGCCAACCUGCACUUCCCCUAGUGCUUGCACUUGUGGCGC
Molecule: ribosomal RNA, 362 nt
Filed under: Surirella sp.1 ECR-2011
Lineage: Eukaryota; Bacillariophyta; Bacillariophyceae; Surirellales; Surirellaceae
Description: eukaryotic LSU rRNA
Rfam family: Eukaryotic large subunit ribosomal RNA
Source: RNAcentral